UUGACGCUGAGGUUGGUACUUGUACCGACUGGAUGAGCAGCGAACGGGUGAGUAACGCGUGGGGAAUCUGCCUUUGAGCGGGGGACAACAUUUGGAAACGAAUGCUAAUACCGCAUAAAAACUUUAAACACAAGUUUUAAGUUUGAAAGAUGCAAUUGCAUCACUCAAAGAUGAUCCCGCGUUGUAUUAGCUAGUUGGUGAGGUAAAGGCUCACCAAGGCGAUGAUACAUAGCCGACCUGAGAGGGUGAUCGGCCACAUUGGGACUGAGACACGGCCCAAACUCCUACGGGAGGCAGCAGUAGGGAAUCUUCGGCAAUGGACGAAAGUCUGACCGAGCAACGCCGCGUGAGUGAAGAAGGUUUUCGGAUCGUAAAACUCUGUUGGUAGAGAANANCGUUGGUGAGAGUGGAAAGCUCAUCAAGUGACGGUAACUACCCAGAAAGGGACGGCUAACUNCGUGCCAGCAGCCGCGGUAAUACGUAGGUCCCGAGCGUUGUCCGGAUUAAUUGGGCGUAAAGCGAGCCCAGGUGGUUNAUNAAGUCUGGUGUAAAGGCAGUGGCUCACC
Molecule: ribosomal RNA, 566 nt
Filed under: Lactococcus lactis subsp. lactis
Lineage: Bacteria; Bacillati; Bacillota; Bacilli; Lactobacillales; Streptococcaceae
Description: bacterial SSU rRNA
Rfam family: Bacterial small subunit ribosomal RNA
Source: RNAcentral